Molecule: non-coding RNA, 401 nt
Organism: Prevotella sp. CAG:255
Lineage: Bacteria; Pseudomonadati; Bacteroidota; Bacteroidia; Bacteroidales; Prevotellaceae
Source: Rfam
GGGGUUGACCGGAUUUGACAGCGGGUUGGAAUGGUACGUAAGCACGCGGAGCGUGGUCUGUUUGCUCCUAAAUCUCAGCGGUCAUAAAUUUAUCUGGCGAAAACAAAUACGCUCUCGCUGCCUAAUCGAAGCAUAGUAGAUUAUCGGCUUAAUCCAGUCACAAGGUGACAGGACGAGACACUGCUCGAAAGCUGUUGUUCCGAAGCGUUUCGGUAAAGCGGUGCGGUUAAAUCGGAAAUAGUCUUGUGCGGCCCCGCACUCAAGAUGAAGUUUUAGGGGAUAAGGUUGCAGUUGGUGGUCCGGGUCUUGCUGCAGCUCGAAAACCGAAGGCCGGAAUAAGCGUGUAGAAAGCGUAUGGUUUCCCUGUUUGGACGAGGGUUCGAAUCCCUCCAGCUCCACAC